AACGAACGCUGGCGGCAUGCCUAACACAUGCAAGUCGAACGAACCCUUCGGGGUUAGUGGCGCACGGGUGCGUAACGCGUGGGAAUCUGCCCCUUGCUUCGGAAUAACUCAGGGAAACUUGUGCUAAUACCGGAUGAUGUCUUCGGACCAAAGAUUUAUCGGCAAGGGAUGAGCCCGCGUAGGAUUAGGUAGUUGGUGGGGUAAAGGCCUACCAAGCCGACGAUCCUUAGCUGGUCUGAGAGGAUGAUCAGCCACACUGGGACUGAGACACGGCCCAGACUCCUACGGGAGGCAGCAGUGGGGAAUAUUGGACAAUGGGCGCAAGCCUGAUCCAGCAAUGCCGCGUGAGUGAUGAAGGCCCUCGGGUCGUAAAGCUCUUUUACCAGGGAUGAUAAUGACAGUACCUGGAGAAUAAGCUCCGGCUAACUCCGUG
RNAcentral lists this ribosomal RNA (433 nucleotides) under uncultured bacterium. RNAcentral's name for it is "partial 16S ribosomal RNA". It matches the Rfam family "Bacterial small subunit ribosomal RNA", at positions 29 to 507 of the family's 1533-position model. The record is from RNAcentral.